Molecule: long non-coding RNA, 259 nt
Filed under: Nicotiana benthamiana
Lineage: Eukaryota; Viridiplantae; Streptophyta; Magnoliopsida; Solanales; Solanaceae
Description: long non-coding RNA (NBEN_LNC002607)
Source: RNAcentral
GGGAUCUUCGUGCACACGGGCUGCCCUUUUACCACUGACACAGUAUAUAACUAAAAAACAUCAUAAACUCCAAAUAACAACAAAAGCUCCAUGUCCUAUCGAAUAUCAUAAAAUGGAAUGAAUAGGGUGGAUUUGUUGCGUAUUUAAAUUCACAAUUCAAACCGCCUUAAAAUACAAUUCAUAGAUCGAAGGGUAACUUGAUUUAAUCUUAAGGUCAAUAUAUAACACCACAGAUUCACAUCAUAAAUCAACCCCUCCC